This 441-nucleotide ribosomal RNA is filed under the name uncultured bacterium. RNAcentral describes it as "partial 16S ribosomal RNA". It matches the Rfam family "Bacterial small subunit ribosomal RNA", at positions 338 to 795 of the family's 1533-position model. The record is from RNAcentral.
CCUACGGGAGGCAGCAGUGGGGAAUAUUGCACAAUGGGGGAAACCCUGAUGCAGCAACGCCGCGUGAGUGAAGAAGUAUUUCGGUAUGUAAAGCUCUAUCAGCAGGGAAGAAGAACGAAGGUCCCUGAGUAAGAAGCCCCGGCUAACUACGUGCCAGAAGCAGCGGUAAUACGUAGGGGGCAAGCGUUAUCCGGAUUUACUGGGUGUAAAGGGAGGGUCGACGGCUGGGUAAGUCUGAAGUGAAAGCCCGGGGCUCAACCGCGGAACUGCUUUGGAAACUGUAUAGCUUGAGUACAGGAGAGGCAGGCGGAAUUCCUAGGGGAGCGGUGAAAUGCGUAGAUAUUAGGAGGAACACCAGUGGCGAAGGCGGCCUGCUGGACAGAAACUGACGUUGAGGCUCGAAAGCGUGGGGAGCAAACAGGAUUAGAUACCCGGGUAGUC